RNAcentral lists this ribosomal RNA (425 nucleotides) under uncultured bacterium. Its description in RNAcentral is "partial 16S ribosomal RNA". It matches the Rfam family "Bacterial small subunit ribosomal RNA", at positions 354 to 796 of the family's 1533-position model. The record is from RNAcentral.
GUUAGGAAUAUUGGACAAUGGGCGCAAGUCUGAUCCAGCCAUGCCGCGUGAACGAUGAAGGCCUUCGGGUUGUAAAGUUCUUUAGCCGAUGAUUAUAAUGACUGUAGUCGGAAAAUAAGCCCCGGCUAACUUCGUGCCAGCAGCCGCGGUAAUACGAAGGGGGCGAGCGUUAUUCGGAAUCACUGGGCGUAAAGCGUGCGUAGGCGGUCUCGUAAGUUAGGAGUGAAAGCCCAGGGCUCAACCUUGGAAUUGCUCUUAAAACUGCAAGGCUAGAAUCUCGGAGAGGAUAGCGGAAUUUCCAGUGUAGCAGUGAAAUGCGUAGAUAUUGGAAGGAACACCAGUGGCGUAAGCGGCUAUCUGGACGAGUAUUGACGCUGAGGCACGAAAGCGUGGGGAUCAAACAGGAUUAGAUACCCCGGUAGUCC